GGCUGGCGACAACCCCAGCCAAGAAACAAUAUUUAUAUAGUUUAAAUAAAACUCUACAUUUUCAUUGUAAAAUUAAAUCAUUUUUGUAA
This 89-nucleotide transfer RNA is filed under the name Dilophotes sp. AT LB-2014. RNAcentral describes it as "tRNA-Glu". Lineage: Eukaryota; Metazoa; Arthropoda; Insecta; Coleoptera; Lycidae. The record is from RNAcentral.